Molecule: ribosomal RNA, 621 nt
Filed under: Clostridioides difficile
Lineage: Bacteria; Bacillati; Bacillota; Clostridia; Peptostreptococcales; Peptostreptococcaceae
Description: partial 23S ribosomal RNA
Rfam family: Bacterial large subunit ribosomal RNA
Source: RNAcentral
GGUCAAGUUAUUAAGGGUGCAGGGCGGAUGCCUUGGCACUAGGAGCCGAUGAAGGACGUGAUAAGCUGCGAUAAGCUUCGGGGAGUUGCACGUAAACUUUGAUCCGAAGAUUUCCGAAUGAGGAAACUCACUUAGAGUAAUGUCUAAGUAUCAUUAAGUGAAUACAUAGCUUAAUGAGGGGAACUCAGGGAACUGAAACAUCUAAGUACCUGAAGGAAGAGAAAGAAAUUCGAUUCCGUAAGUAGCGGCGAGCGAACGCGGAUUAGCCCAAACCAAUAAAGUUUUCUUUAUUGGGGUUGCGGACAUAUCAUAACGAAGAGGUAUCGUAAUUGAAGAGGUUUGGAAAGACCCACCACAGAAGGUAAUAGUCCUGUAUGUUAAACGAGAAGACUUUAGAUAUGAUCCAGAGUACCACGGGACACGUGAAACCCUGUGGGAAGCAGGAGGGACCACCCUCCAAGGCUAAAUACUACCUAGUGACCGAUAGCGUAUAGUACCGUGAGGGAAAGGUGAAAAGAACCCCGGGAGGGGAGUGAAAUAGAACCUGAAACCCUGCACUUACAAGCUGUGGAAGCACAUUUCUUGUGUGACCGCGUACUUUUUGUAGAACGGGCCAACGAG